This 600-nucleotide ribosomal RNA is filed under the name Debaryomyces hansenii. Its description in RNAcentral is "LSU rRNA". It matches the Rfam family "Eukaryotic large subunit ribosomal RNA", at positions 39 to 654 of the family's 3401-position model. Lineage: Eukaryota; Fungi; Ascomycota; Pichiomycetes; Serinales; Debaryomycetaceae. The record is from RNAcentral.
UUUAUCAUAAGCGGAGGAAAAGAAACCAACAGGGUAUUGCCUUAGUAACGGCGAGUGAAGCGGCAAAAGCUCAAAUUUGAAAUCUGGCACCUUCGGUGUCCGAGUUGUAAUUUGAAGAAGGUAACUUUGGAGUUGGCUCUUGUCUAUGUUCCUUGGAACAGGACGUCACAGAGGGUGAGAAUCCCGUGCGAUGAGAUGCCCAAUUCUAUGUAAAGUGCUUUCGAAGAGUCGAGUUGUUUGGGAAUGCAGCUCUAAGUGGGUGGUAAAUUCCAUCUAAAGCUAAAUAUUGGCGAGAGACCGAUAGCGAACAAGUACAGUGAUGGAAAGAUGAAAAGAACUUUGAAAAGAGAGUGAAAAAGUACGUGAAAUUGUUGAAAGGGAAGGGCUUGAGAUCAGACUUGGUAUUUUGCGAUCCUUUCCUUCUUGGUUGGGUUCCUCGCAGCUUACUGGGCCAGCAUCGGUUUGGAUGGUAGGAUAAUGACUAAGGAAUGUGGCUCUACUUCGGUGGAGUGUUAUAGCCUUGGUUGAUACUGCCUGUCUAGACCGAGGACUGCGUCUUUUGACUAGGAUGUUGGCAUAAUGAUCUUAAGCCACCCGUCU